Molecule: ribosomal RNA, 497 nt
Filed under: uncultured bacterium
Lineage: Bacteria
Description: partial 16S ribosomal RNA
Rfam family: Bacterial small subunit ribosomal RNA
Source: RNAcentral
GAUGAACGCUGGCGGCGUGCCUAAUACAUGCAAGUCGAGCGAACGGACGAGAAGCUUGCUUCUCUGAUGUUAGCGGCGGACGGGUGAGUAACACGUGGAUAACCUACCUAUAAGACUGGGAUAACUUCGGGAAACCGGAGCUAAUACCGGAUAAUAUUUUGAACCGCAUGGUUCAAAAGUGAAAGACGGUCUUGCUGUCACUUAUAGAUGGAUCCGCGCUGCAUUAGCUAGUUGGUAAGGUAACGGCUUACCAAGGCAACGAUGCAUAGCCGACCUGAGAGGGUGAUCGGCCACACUGGAACUGAGACACGGUCUAGACUCCUACGGGAGGCAGCAGUAGGGAAUCUUCCGCAAUGGGCGAAAGCCUGACGGAGCAACGCCGCGUGAGUGAUGAAGGUCUUCGGAUCGUAAAACUCUGUUAUUAGGGAAGAACAUAUGUGUAAGUAACUGUGCACAUCUUGACGGUACCUAAUCAGAAAGCCACGGCUAACUACGCG